This 206-nucleotide small nucleolar RNA is filed under the name Parasteatoda tepidariorum (common house spider). RNAcentral's name for it is "small nucleolar RNA U3". It matches the Rfam family "Small nucleolar RNA U3". From Rfam's summary of the family: Small nucleolar RNAs (snoRNAs) are involved in the processing and modification of rRNA in the nucleolus. There are two main classes of snoRNAs: the box C/D class, and the box H/ACA class. Lineage: Eukaryota; Metazoa; Arthropoda; Arachnida; Araneae; Theridiidae. The record is from RNAcentral.
AAGAUCAUACUUCAUAGGAUCAUUUCUAUAGUAUGAUUAGCGAGUUCACUCACCGAACUUCGCAGAAAACCCAACCACGAUGAUGAGGAAUGGGGCUUUCUCCUGAGCGUGAAGCGGUUGCGUAACUUCUAUCGAAGUGAGCAACAUUGAUGAUCGCACUAUUUGGCAUUGCGCCAGAUGGAUGGAAAAAGCUCGUUCUGAAUGGU